This 236-nucleotide unclassified non-coding RNA is filed under the name plant metagenome. RNAcentral's name for it is "partial contains small subunit ribosomal RNA, internal transcribed spacer 1, and 5.8S ribosomal RNA". The record is from RNAcentral.
UUUCCGUAGGUGAACCUGCGGAAGGAUCAUUACUGAGUGAGGGCCCCUCGGGGUCCAACCUCCCACCCGUGUUUAACGAACCUUGUUGCUUCGGCGGGCCCGCCUCACGGCCGCCGGGGGGCAUUUGCCCCCGGGCCCGUGCCCGCCGAAGCCACCUGUGAACGCUGUCUGAAGUAUGCAGUCUGAGACAAUUAUUAAAUUAAUUAAAACUUUCAACAACGGAUCUCUUGGUUCCG